RNAcentral lists this ribosomal RNA (497 nucleotides) under uncultured bacterium. RNAcentral's name for it is "partial 16S ribosomal RNA". It matches the Rfam family "Bacterial small subunit ribosomal RNA", at positions 28 to 507 of the family's 1533-position model. The record is from RNAcentral.
GAUGAACGCUGGCGGCGUGCCUAAUACAUGCAAGUCGAGCGAACGGACGAGAAGCUUGCUUCUCUGAUGUUAGCGGCGGACGGGUGAGUAACACGUGGAUAACCUACCUAUAAGACUGGGAUAACUUCGGGAAACCGGAGCUAAUACCGGAUAAUAUUUUGAACCGCAUGGUUCAAUAGUGAAAGACGGUCUUGCUGUCACUUAUAGAUGGAUCCGCGCUGCAUUAGCUAGUUGGUAAGGUAACGGCUUAUCAAGGCAACUAUGCAUGACCGACCUGAGAGGGGGAUCGGCCACACUGGAACGUAGACACGGUCCUGACUCCUACGGGAGGCAGCAGAAGGGAAUCUUCCGCAAUGGGCGAAAGCCUGACGGAGCAACGCCGCGUGAGUUAUGAAGGUCUUCGGAUCGUAAAACUCUGUUAUUAGGGAAGAACAUAUGUGUAAGUAACUGUGCACAUCUUGACGGUACCUAAUCAGAAAGCCACGGCUAACUACGUG